RNAcentral lists this ribosomal RNA (509 nucleotides) under uncultured bacterium. RNAcentral's name for it is "bacterial SSU rRNA". It matches the Rfam family "Bacterial small subunit ribosomal RNA", at positions 15 to 518 of the family's 1533-position model. The record is from RNAcentral.
GAUUAUGGCUCAGGAUGAACGCUGGCGGCGUGCUUAACACAUGCAAGUCGAACGGGGUAUUGACGCUGACGAGACUUCGGUCAAAUCUUGUUAAUACCUAGUGGCGGACGGGUGAGUAACGCGUGGGUAACCUGCCGUAUGCAGGGGGGACAACAGUUGGAAACGACUGCUAAUACCGCAUAAGCGCACAGUUUCGCAUGAAACAGUGUGAAAAGAUUUAUCGGCAUACGAUGGACCCGCGUUUGAUUAGCUAGUUGGUGGGGUAACGGCCUACCAAGGCGACGAUCCAAUAGCCGGCCUGAGAGGGCAAUCGGCCACAUUGGGACUGAGACACGGCCCAAACUCCUACGGGAGGCAGCAGUGGGGAAUAUUGCACAAUGGGGGAAACCCUGAUGCAGCGAACCGCCGCGUGAGUGAAGAAGUAUUUCGGUAUGUAAAGCUCUAUCAGCAGGGAAGAUGAUGACGGUACCUGACUAAGAAGCCCCGGCUAACUACGUGCCAGCAGCAGC